This is a long non-coding RNA of Neomonachus schauinslandi (Hawaiian monk seal), 315 nucleotides long. RefSeq lists it as uncharacterized. Lineage: Eukaryota; Metazoa; Chordata; Mammalia; Carnivora; Phocidae. The transcript has 3 exons. The record is from RefSeq and is a predicted model, not a curated record.
ACCGCCCUGCUGGUGUGGCUGGGUUUCAGUUUCCCCGAAUUCAAGUGUGUCCUAAAAUGGACAGCGACCUUCUAAACAACUCUUCGCUGGCCUGAGAGCAUCUUUCCCGGACAGACCAGGAAGUGAAAUGGACUAUUUCUGGUCAUUCUCCACUAAGGUGGAAAUGUGCAAUGGUGUAGCCAAUGGUGUGGGAAGUCUUCGAGUUCCUGAAAAAGUUAAAAAUAGUGUUACCAUAUGACCCAGCACUUCCAUACCUGGGUAUCCACCCGAGAGAAAUGAAAAGGAGUCUCCGCGCAAAGUCUUGCACGUGAAUAU